ACCGCGCCUCCCCCAAAUCCGAUUCGUCGAUGGCGGCAUCCCUGACCUCCAUGCGUCCGGAUCUCGUCCUCCCGUGCUCAGCCCCGCCGCCCUCACAUCCGCAUUCCGCGAUCCGCCCUCAUCCUCCCGUGCGCAGCCCCGCCACCUCUCCCCGGCUCCAUCAUUCCGGCAUGAUGACGGCUGCAGCGUUCCACCCUCCUCCUCCUCCUCACGUGCGCAGCCCCAGUCCUCCUCGCCCGCACAUACACCUGAAGCCAAUAGAACCCCACAAAAUCUGGGGGCGAAGCUGCAGAAAAUGUGCCUAUCGGAUCCCCUCCCGCCCUCCGGAUCCCUACCCUCGCCAGGAUCCCGGAUCUCUCGCCGAGCAGCCGGCGUGCCGCGUCCGAUGCGAUCCGUGCCCCUGCCGCGCCGCCAGAGUCGACGAUGAAUCGGGUAACGCGGUAACACCUCCGGCUCCCGCCCCGCUCCCAACUUUGGCCCGAGCCGACGUGCGCCUGCGGACUCGCAGCGCUUGUCGUGCUCCUCCUCGCUUCGGCCCUGCUCCCUAGCCUUCCUCGCUACGGCACACUCUCACAGCAUCUUCACCUUUACUUCAAAAGAACAAUUUCUAUGGGCAAAUUCCCAGAGAGUUUGGAACGCUGACUGAUCUAGAAGUGCUAGAUUUGAGCAGCAACAGCUUGGAUGGAGCAAUUCCGGAAGAACUAAGAGCAAUGCCACUGCUCAGACAACUAUCGCUUCAUGAUAACCAGUUCCAAGAAGGUGUCUCUUCUUUCGAUGUCCACGAGAUAGUUGCUGUCUUGCUGAUCAAGCAGGAUGCUUGAGCAGAAAAAUAGGGUGCUGGUCAGGCUAUAAGGACUGGAUUUCUCUCAGUGGCCUCCGAGAGAAAUAUUACACAAAUAUACCUAGUAUUUUUGCAUUUUCAUUCUGCUUUAUGUUACAUAUACUGCAUCAAACAUUUAUAGCCUUGUAUGCAUGUCUUUCAGGUUUCAGUGAGGCACACAUAAUGCAGAAUUUGCAGUCCUUUGCAAGUGCCAUGCAGUCCUUGAAGCUGGCAACCUGCCUGCUCUCCUCUUUCAGGGAAUGAUGCUAAAUCUUCUGAUCCGGCAAAUUCAAAAGAAACCCAAAGACCUGUUGAUGUACUUUCUCUAGGGAGUGGAUCAUUCCCUGCAUUUCCAAAAUCAGAUGGCCAAAUUCUGAUGCCUUUGGUUCCUGAAGUGAUUGAUGCUACCACAGUGCAGCAGUUAUCUACAGAAGUGGCCCACUCGACUGAUGAAGAAUUGACUGGCGCUAAGUAUAGCAAGUGGGCAUAUUUGAUCAUAAUUCCGGCUGCAAUAUUGCUUAUUAGCCUGAUUGUUGCAUUUAUUUUGGUUUGGCGAAUGCGAGGGCGUGUGCCAAUUAGUCCCUUGGAAAACAGGGCUAAGUGGAGCUCUUCAAAAGGCUAAUGUAACAGACUUGAGCUUGAAGCCGCUUGUGAGGAUUUCAGCAACAUCAUCAAUACUUAUCCGAGCUGCACUGUGUUCAAGGGGAUACUUUCUAGCGGAGUUGAUGUUGUUGUUAUCUCCACUGUCAUUUCAUCCAACAAAGAAUGGCCUGGGAGUUCAGAAACGUGCUUCAGAAAAAGGUUCAAGACUAGCAACAUCUUGUUCUCAACACAAACAACAUGAAAAAACAAAAAAGAUUUUUCAAUGCUAACUGUGUAUAAGAGCUGCUAGAGGCGAGGUGGCGCGUGGCAGAUAAGGCAACGCGCUGUCGGAGAAAGCAAGGAACAAAGGCAAUUGGGUUGUUCGGUUAGAGGAGAUGAUGGCGGAUCGUUGGAUGUACAUCCAAUGGCGAGGGAUGUUUGACUGAAAAACUCCAUUUUUCAGUCACUAAGAACAUUUUAUGCGAGAUAUUCUUAUACAUAGAUAUCUCUAGGAUGUUAUUGUGGAGAUGUUAUUUUUGUUAUAUUCAUGUUAGACAAGAAAUCAAGAGUCAUGAUAUUGCACUAAUGUUGGAUCUUAGGCAUCGUAGAGCAUUAUUGCCCUAUAAAUUAAGUAUUAUCUUUACCAUCAUGUU
Phragmites australis (common reed) is the source of this 2055-nucleotide long non-coding RNA. RefSeq lists it as uncharacterized. NCBI's taxonomy places the organism in Eukaryota, Viridiplantae, Streptophyta, Magnoliopsida, Poales, Poaceae. The transcript is spliced from 5 exons. The record is from RefSeq and is a predicted model, not a curated record.